AAAAAAUCCGCUUAAAAAAAAAAAAAAACCUUUCUCUCUCUCUCUCAAAAUGGCCAUAUUUGAGAAAAAAAAUGUAGUAGUUUGAAUCACUGGAUAUAGCUGUCGAUCAUUUAAUAUUCAUAUUGUAAAAUGUUAAAAGUUAAUAUUAACUAAAAUUAAAUGAUUUGCGCGCAGCGGUCGCGCGCGCAUCUGUAGACUAGCGCAAGUUAAUUCUCACAUUAUAAUAGUGUUUAAUAGCUCCUAACAGGCUGUGUGACUAUGAGAAGUUAUUACCUCAAAAUGUACGUCAGUAUGCAGUUUUCCGCUCGCGUGCCGAGACAGGGGUAGCUGCAGCCUGGAGCAAUGGGCGUGCCGAGAGGUCUCUCAUUGGUGAAAGGAGUUUUACUGUUUUGGCCAAUCAGCGGUAAAUACACAUUUACGUAAUUUCCUUUAGACAAGAGAAGGUAGCGGCGAUAAGACGUGGUGUAAUUAUUCAUCAUACGUUUAUCUAUACUUUAUAUACCACAAAUAUGAAUAUUAAGAUAGCUUGUUACAAUACGAUCAUAAUUUUUCCUUUGCGUUAUAUCUGGCAGCUUUAGUAAUUAGUUUAUUGUUGUUGACAGACAUACUGUAUGUACAGUGAGACAAAACGAUGAGCGCAUCUGCAUCGAAGCUCUCAGAGCUGAUAGUUUAUAUCUGCGUCCUUUUUGUGCAAUACAGUACAGAAUACAUCCUGUGUCCAACUAAUGCAGAAUAUAUUCAAGUAUCCAACUCACUGAUUGUGAAGAACCCUUUCCAGAGAAAUAUAAAGGAAAUGACUGAAACUUGUGUUGGGGAGGAUUCAGU
Cyprinus carpio (common carp) is the source of this 825-nucleotide long non-coding RNA. The record is from Ensembl. NCBI's taxonomy places the organism in Eukaryota, Metazoa, Chordata, Actinopteri, Cypriniformes, Cyprinidae.